This 559-nucleotide ribosomal RNA is filed under the name Streptomyces sp. MCC-A3. RNAcentral describes it as "bacterial SSU rRNA". It matches the Rfam family "Bacterial small subunit ribosomal RNA", at positions 126 to 698 of the family's 1533-position model. The record is from RNAcentral. Lineage: Bacteria; Bacillati; Actinomycetota; Actinomycetes; Kitasatosporales; Streptomycetaceae.
CUGCCCUUCACUCUGGGACAAGCCCUGGAAACGGGGUCUAAUACCGGAUACGACCUCCGACCGCAUGGUCUGGUGGUGGAAAGCUCCGGCGGUGAAGGAUGAGCCCGCGGCCUAUCAGCUUGUUGGUGGGGUGAUGGCCUACCAAGGCGACGACGGGUAGCCGGCCUGAGAGGGCGACCGGCCACACUGGGACUGAGACACGGCCCAGACUCCUACGGGAGGCAGCAGUGGGGAAUAUUGCACAAUGGGCGAAAGCCUGAUGCAGCGACGCCGCGUGAGGGAUGACGGCCUUCGGGUUGUAAACCUCUUUCAGCAGGGAAGAAGCGAGAGUGACGGUACCUGCAGAAGAAGCGCCGGCUAACUACGUGCCAGCAGCCGCGGUAAUACGUAGGGCGCAAGCGUUGUCCGGAAUUAUUGGGCGUAAAGAGCUCGUAGGCGGCUUGUCGCGUCGGAUGUGAAAGCCCGGGGCUUAACCCCGGGUCUGCAUUCGAUACGGGCAGGCUAGAGUUCGGUAGGGGAGAUCGGAAUUCCUGGUGUAGCGGUGAAAUGCGCAGAUAUC